AAAAUAGGCUGCAAUCAAGUUCACUUCCAAAGGCGGAAUUCAUGGGUACAUAUGGUGUCCACGUGUGUAUACCUGCAGAGUUGUAACAUGCGGGCAUUUCUCCCCCCACCCCGCCAUUCUGGCUUCUUAACUUGCACCCUAACAGCUCGACAGAACCUUGGCGUCCACAAAAAGGAUUUGAGGUGGGACAUGGAAGAACAGGGACCCCACCUGGUUUGUCCACCCGGCCCACACCUGCAUUCCUCACCCAACCUACCACUUCAGAGCCGGGAAAAGACCUCAGAGAACAUCCGCUCCGACUCCACCGAGGCUCAGACAGGACAAGAAGAGUGUGCUGGACACUGGGAAAUGUGGUCCAGGAGCAGUCACAGUCCCUACAGACCUCCCACAAAUUACCAUAAUGCAAAGCAGUGAACACUUGGGAGAGCUCCUUCACUCACCGACUCUCAUCAGGAAAAUAGUAAUAGCAUGAACCCCUCCAGAUGGUUUUAGGAUUAAAAGAGAUACUUGUGCAAAGCCUCAGCAUACAAGUGCUCAGCCCCUGCCGACAUGAGCAAUGGGCAGCGCGUCCAGCUGGGUUCCUGCCCCACGAGAAGCACACAGCCUGGUUUGGUAGGUGGGGCUCCAUCAGGGCUGUUUGGAUACCUGGGUGGAGCCCGCAGACCAUCCCCCACCUUGUGUGGUUAGGGCUUUGCUAGGAAGGCCCAACUGUGCGCCAUGACCUUGGAACUCGAUGUGAGAUCCCUGGACCGGCAGCAGCACCUGGAAGCUUGUUGGAAAUGCUGAUCUCAGGUGGGACUCCAGAAUUCCCGCAUCUGCACCUGCACUCCCAAAAUACCUCCCCACCAGGUGAUCCGAGGCCAUGGGGCGGUCUGAAGGGCACUGUGCUGGGGCGUCCCACCACUAGAGAUCCAGUCCGGUAAUCUGAAGAUGUAAGUGCCCCCAGGAGGAGUGACGGAGUGACACAAAUGACACAAGGGGAGGGGACUUGUCAGGUGUCCACUCCUGACUACAAGUUCCCAGGGCAGAAGGCAAUGCCCCCACAGGGACUUUUCUAGACACUCCGAGUGCACCUGAAUUGCAUUUUGAGUGAUGCUACCUGCUAAGCAGGAAGAGCCCUCCGGAGCCUCGGAAAGCAGAGUGGAAGUGGUGGUGCCCAGGACGCAUGGGCUCUGAUGGGAAGGGGGAGGUGGGCCUGAGCAUGGGCCUUCUUCUCCCCAGGUCAGAGGGGCCUGGAUGCCCCUGGAGGGAACACUGAGGUCACCUCUGGCCAAAUCUUCCUGUUCUGCCAGUACCCAGCCCUGUUCAGUGACAUCAAGCUUUUGGGUCCCUGUCCUGGGGCCCUCCACGCUGGCCGGGCUGUGUAGAGACGCCCUUCUCUCUACUUUAUUGGGUCCAGAUUGUUGUGUGGCUUCUCCCCUCCUCUGCAGCCUGGGGUCUGAAAACAGCGACGCCAACAGACAGACAGAUUUCCAAAAGAAAGGUCCGGCUCAGCCAAGGACAAAGGGGCCUUGCAGAGGCUCCUGGGGGUCAGAAAGCUGAGAGUCUACCGGGCAGGUGCCUUCUGCACCCACAGGCACAAGCUACAACAGCUUUCCAAGAAGCGCAUCCACAUCAUCCCCAGGUCCAGAUGCCCACAUCGCCCUGCAGGGACCGAGACCACACUCGGGCUGCUUGGACAGGAUGUAGCGGGUCACUGUUCUGGAGCUGGCCCCUCUGUAGCCUGUGACAAUCAGCUUGAGUCUCUGCCAAGUCUCCGCCUUCUGUUCUUCUUGCCCACCUUGAAGCAGAGUUGACUUUUUGGGUUUUUCCAGCAGACAAAGCUCACUCAAUCUGACACUGUGGAGGUUGUUAAUUUAACAACCAACCCAUCCUCAUGUUGAGAAACCAGCUCCAAAUGCUCACCGGGCUGUCAGGGAUGGGGAGCCUCAUGGGUGAAAGAAGGUUGUGAUGGCAUAAUUUAAACCAAAAGAGGCAUUUGCGGUUGCCCGUGUUGCCCCAGGCCUGCUGGCCUCCUGCUGUGAACGUUUUGGGCAAUACCAUCUCUGCCAGUGACCCCCAAUUGUCCACUUGUCUCCAGCAAGAUCGAACCAUGUAAGUGCCAUUUCUGACAACUUGGGUGAACGUUGGUUUCAAAUCAUCAACUCUGCAUUCAAGUGCCCUGCUACAAUUCUGGCUCACUCUGCGGGAAUAACUGCCUGCCUGGGCACGUUGCCGUUGCUGCCUCCCAAACGGCAGUUUCUGGGGUCCCAGGUCAUCCAGGUUGGAUGUGGCUUGGGAGAGACCUGUAGCACCAGGUUGGAGGGAGGUCUCACCUCUCCUUUCUGAGCUGUGGACUGCAGCUUCAGGACCCUAUGGAUGAGGCCGAAUGUCAUGAAGAUAAUGGAAUUUGGAGUCUCAGCAAAGCCAAGCCACAUGCCAGAGAUUCACCACCUGGGGCCCAGGAUCAGAAGUGUGCCCUUAGGAGGCCAAACAUCCACCUGUCUACCAACUAGACAUUUGGUCUCAGACAGCAAGAAAGGCUGCGUUUAUGUCAUUAGGGGGAACACCACGGUCUUCGGCAUGAGAGAGGUGUAAUUCUCAAGUUCCUCAGAGCUUGGCUUCCCCCAUGAGAGGAAACAAUUUGCCAGGUUGAAGAACACACGCUUUGAGGGUUCUCAGAGGCUGACACCUGUUGUGAAUCUUGGAAACUCAAGCCCCAGUGCAAACGGCCUUGAAGGAGGUCGAGCAUCAUGGUUCCAACAAGUGACUCACUUUGAUAACCCGAUGUGUAAGCAGAAUCGCAAUGCAUCCGUCCUUCCCUAAUCAUCACGUGGCUGUCAUCUGGUCAAUGAACUGAGGCCCGAAGGCUUGAGUCAAACUGGUUUUCAAGGCUGUGCUCAUGGGAUUUAUAUGUUUCUUGAGCCCUGUUGGAGGCUCUUGGCAGGUCUGAACAUUAAACAUUUCUUUUCUUCCUUUUGCACACUGCUUCAACCUAAAGAGUUGGAGCGAAUUAGCUCUAUGUCAUUUCUGUGUUGUAAAUGGGAAAUUAGCUACCCCAUAACUUCCCAUUGUCUCCUGAGAGGUUACAAAUUGUGUUACAGAUAUUAGCAAGUGUUAAUCCUCACGAUGUCCCUGGGAGGGAACCAGAAGCAUCGUAGAUGAAGACAUCGAGGCACAGAGAGGUGAGGUCACUGGGAAGAAGCCACACAGCAUAACAGUGGCAGGUCAAGAAAAGGGCUGGGGUUCUCCCCACCAAUACCAAAUGAUUUUGCUCUGUGGAGUUUGUGUCUCGGUUAGGACAUUGGUGAGCUAUGUCACCUAUGUUUCAGGUGACAGGGACAUCACAACAAAGGUUUGUUGGGUUAACAAUGUCAAGCAUUUCCCUGCCUCAGACCCCAAACUCAUUGCCACACUCCAUACCACUGUCACGGAGUGCAGAUAGUGGGGUUUGGAAUCUCAGUAAAGCCAAACCACAGGCCAGAGAUUCACCAUAUGGGGCCAUCGGUCAUCCCCGAUCCUGUUGUCCCAAUAGCUUUCAUUCCGGUGAUAGGAUAUCUGCAUCUCCUAGAAAUGUGGCUGCUAAGCCCCACUCCUGCACGGAUCAUUCACCGGCUCCCCACUCAGCGUAGCCACUCCUGGGUGGAUCGGCAAACAGCUCUUCAAUACGUCCACCCCCAUGUGUCACAGAGCUUUUCAGGUGGAAGGAUUUUGCAUUCUCCCAAGAGAGAUUCAGUGAGCCAAGUCAGGACCCAGGUUCUCAGUCAAGGGUAAGAUGCUGCAGCCGAGAGUCCCCCAACCCCCGUCCUGUCCGACGUCUCGGCAAGAGGCAGCACUUCCUGCACCCGGCUCUGCCAGUGCACUGGGCGCUGGGGUGUGGGGUUGGGGUCCCCCCUGCUCCCGCCGGAAGGGUGUUUUAGGGAACUGUGGGCCUCUUCCCACCUUGGCAGCUCCGUUUAAGGCUCCAGGGACUGCUCGGCUGCUCCACAGUGACGGUCACUCUGAGGUGGAGCCUGUGUAUCCUGGAUGGAGGCAGAGCCGGACACCGUGACAGGUCCUCUGGGCCCAUCUCCAGCUGAACAGGAAAGUCCAUGGCCACCCAAGACAGGUGGGCUGGUGUCUUCUCUCUCCUGGGCGCUGUGGAGCUGAAACCACAGAUUCCGUCGGGAUUUUGCCCAGGAGCAAGGGACAUCCUCAGCCUGCGGCCGCUAUGUACAGUGAGAACGACACCUGGGGCCAUCUGGCUUCUCUUCCUUCCUGGGUCUCUCACAUUGCGUCUGGUGGAGCCACCAGUUCCUUACACGUUGGUGACCUCCAGGCUGUUGUAGCCUUCCAGACGGCACUGUUCCAGCCUGCUCUGGGGGUCAUCGUCUCCGCAAUCUUCGUUUUGAAGAGAGCCAUAGUCAUCAUGGAAAUCGGGAUCUUUGCUGCUGAAGCCCCUUCCUAUCUUCCCCAGGGGCAGCUGAGAAGAGAAGAAUAUGAUCAAAGGACAGGAAGAAGAGAAACAAGAAUUAAGAAUGAAGGUCUGGGAAAUGUCUCCAAUUCUAAUUGCUCUGUGAUUGAGUAACUUACUUAACCUCUGUGUGCUCCUCCUAUUAGUAAUAAUACUCCCUGCUCAGGGAGGUUGAGGGGAGUUUGUGAAUGACCAUUAGGGGAGAGCUUUGUGUCCCCCCGCCCCCGGAAGGAUUCAGUUGGUUACCAAGGGUGAGGACAAAUAUCGUUAGUCUGAUUAUUCCUGAUUCACAAAAGCCUCCUUCUUCCCUCCUUGGUGGGUGGAGAGUUGAGGAAGUGUGUCCUGGAGACUACCUGUGAGAAUGUCUGAGCAGGACCAUGAGGUCUGACUGCACUCCCAAGUCAAGGAGGAAUAUUCUAGACGGCCUGGUGUGGCAGAAAGAAUGCGAGUUUUGGAGACUCACAGACCCAGGUUCAGAUCCCUGCUCUGCCACUUCCCAGCUGUGUGACCUUGGACAAGUCACUUCCCCUCUCUGAGCCCAUUUUCUCAGCUACAAAAUGGGAAUAGUAGUUUCUAACUCCCAGGUUUGUUGUAAAAAGUAAAGUCCCACCAGUCUGGCCAACAUGGUGAAACCCCGCCUCUCCUAAAAAUACAAAAAUUAGCCGGGCGUGGUGGCAAGCUCCUGUAGUCCCUGCUACUCAGGAGGCCGAGGCAUGAGAAUCACUUGAACCCAGGAAGCAGAGGUUGCAGUGAGCUGAGAUCGUGCAACUGCACUCCAGCCUGACAGAGUGAGACCCUGUCUCAAAAAAAAAAAAAGUCAAGUCCCAUCUGCAAAGCACAUAGCAAGUGCUUGCACCGAGUAAGUCCUUGAUGUACUUGACGAAUAGUGACUAUUAUUAUCACACAUAGUAGGCCUUCAAAAAUACUUCUCUCUUAUUGCACACAUCUCUGUGUUAAAGUAGUCACAUUAGUGCUUUGUAACUAUUUAUUUGACUGCCUUUCUUUCUAGACCAGUGUUUCCAGAUCUUCUUUUUUUAUUACUAUUACUGCUCCCUAAGGAGACUUUUUAGACAGUUUUUUCCUAAUUGCACCCCUGCUGUGAAAUUGUAAUGCCACAGACAUACUACGCCUCUGCUUCCGUACCAUAUGUACAUUUGUGCUUUUACAUAGAAAGAAUAAGAAUUUUUGCCACCGCCCCCACCCCCCACCAGCGCCAAAACAAAUUUUCACUCCUUUGGGGGGCAAUAUCAGCCCCAAUUACUAGAAUGCAUGUUCUAGAAUGGAGCUUCUUAAGGGUAAAGUGGCAAUGUAUUCAUCUUUAUGAAUGAAUGGGGAUCGUGCCUUCUUCAAAUGGAAGACAUUUUGGAUUACCCAGUUCUGCCAUCUGUGCAUUUCCAUUGAGGAAUCUGUGUCAGUUGGAGUCUGUGCAAUCAGUCCUGAACUGCACAUGUUUUCAUACUGUUUGGUUGGAGUCACCAGAGGUUCAUCUUUGCUAUUGGUCAGGUCACUGAAGUCGCAAAUUGAAAUCAGUGAUUGGGGCUCAGAGUUUGGGGCUGCGCUGGAACCCUCUGGGCAGCCUAGCUGAAUGCAGGAUCCCCCACACCCCAGAGAACUCCUUUCCAGGAGACCAAGGUGGGUCCCAGAAUCUGCACGUUCAGUAAUAGCCCCAGGUGAUUCUGAUGCAGGCAGGUGAGACCUGCACUUUGAGAUCCAGGUGCUACUCGAAGCCCUGCGGGGGCUUUGUGCACUGUACCCAAAGCAUCGUGAAGUUUCCUUGAAGGUACAUCCAGGGCAUCUGUCCUGGAUGGCCCCGUGACCCGGCCACCUUCACAGGCCAGCACAGGAGCCACAGAGCUCCCGGGAGGAGAAAAAAAGACCUUUCCCGGGUCUGCAGGACUCACAGGCAAAUCCAUUGAGAGACUUACCCGGCCAGCCUUGUACUUGAGACCGCUGCUGUUCUCCUCCUUUCCUGCCCGCGUGACGCUGGAGGCCCUGCCAGGGGGUGUUCCAAAACGCUCAGCCUCCCGGAUGCCUGUGGAGCUGAAGAGAGGACCAUUUUGAGUCAGCAGGGGAGGCUCAGUCAGCUCCCCAGACACACACACACACACACACACACACACACACACACACAUUGGUGACAAUGACCACAGCUGCUGAGACCGACUGAUUACCUCCCACAUGCCAUCCUUGUGCUCAGCACUUUAUAAGCGUGAUUCUCACAACAUGCCUGGGGCUUGGGACUGCCAGCCCAGCAUUACAGGGAAAGGAGGCCGGAGACAGCAAGCAAUUUGCCCAAGACGACACAGCUGUAAGCGGCAGAAUCAAGAUCUGAACUCAGGCUUCUGACACUCCAAAGUCUUGAUCUUAACUCUUCAGUGUACUGUGAACCUUACUGCAACAGACUCGAGAUAAGAAUCUCAGCAUGGUAGCUAAUUAGUUGUGCUUAGAGAAGCAUGAGGAGUCUCCCCUGCUCUGAAUUUGCAAUCUGUGUCCCCGACCUGGCUUUCUGCCUGAAGCUGCCCCCAUGACUCCCUUCUUUGUGCAAAAGCAUGGAAGCUUCUGUUAGGAUUUGGCCAACUACGGCCUGCCUGCAGGUCAAAUCCAGAUGGCCGACUGAUUUUAUAAAUAAAGUUUUAUUGGAACUCA
Molecule: non-coding RNA, 7078 nt
Filed under: Pan troglodytes (chimpanzee)
Lineage: Eukaryota; Metazoa; Chordata; Mammalia; Primates; Hominidae
Source: RNAcentral